This 889-nucleotide ribosomal RNA is filed under the name uncultured Planctomycetales bacterium. RNAcentral's name for it is "SSU rRNA". It matches the Rfam family "Bacterial small subunit ribosomal RNA", at positions 8 to 916 of the family's 1533-position model. The record is from RNAcentral. Lineage: Bacteria; Pseudomonadati; Planctomycetota; Planctomycetia; Planctomycetales.
AGAGUUUGAUCCUGGCUCAGAAUGAACGUUGGCGGCGUGGAUUAGGCAUGCAAGUCGUACGCCCCGCAAGGGGCGUGGCGCAAGGGUGAGUAAGGCGACGGCAACCAACCUGGGGGCCGGACAUAGCCGCGGGAAACUGCGGGUAAUAUCCGGCGCCGUCGGGGGCGGGCAUCUGCCCCCGACGAAAGGUGUGACUCCGCCCCCAGACGGGCCGUCGUGGUAUUAGCUAGAUGGCGGGGUAACGGCCCACCAUGGCUGCGAUGCCUACCGGGCGUGCGAGCGUGGCCCGGCACACUGGGACUGAGACACUGCCCAGACUCCUACGGGAGGCUGCAGUCGAGAAUCUUCGGCAAUGGGCGCAAGCCUGACCGAGCGACGCCGCGUGGAGGACGAAGGCCUUCGGGUUGUAAACUCCUGUCGAGGGGGAGGAAGGGGCAACCUUGACCGAUCCCUGGAGGAAGCACGGGCUAAGUUCGUGCCAGCAGCCGCGGUAAGACGAACCGUGCGAACGUUAUUCGGAAUCACUGGGCUUAAAGCGCGUGUAGGCGGAUCGCCGCGUCGGCUGCUGAAAUCCCCCGGCUCAACCGGGGAACGGGCACCGAUACGGGCGGUCUCGAGGGGGGUAGGGGGGUCUGGAACUUCCGGUGGAGCGGUGAAAUGCGUUGAGAUCGGAAGGAACGCCCGUGGCGAAAGCGAGGCCCUGGACCCUUACUGACGCUGAGACGCGAAAGCCAGGGGAGCGAACGGGAUUAGAUACCCCGGUAGUCCUGGCCGUAAACGAUGAACACUGGGUAGGGGGCUCGCCGAUGGGCUCCCUGCCGUAGGGAAACCGUGAAGUGUUCCGCCUGGGGAGUAUGGUCGCAAGGCUGAAACUCAAAGGAAUUGACGG